Molecule: RNA transcript, 2814 nt
Organism: Dendrobium catenatum
Lineage: Eukaryota; Viridiplantae; Streptophyta; Magnoliopsida; Asparagales; Orchidaceae
Gene name: serine/threonine-protein phosphatase 7 long form homolog
Exons: 7
Source: RefSeq, a predicted model, not a curated record
CCUGUUUUACAGUAUCGACUAGUAGUGGCGCCCACUGUCUUCGCCCCUCGAACAAAUAAACCCCUUGGCCUGUCGCAUAUUUCCGAGGCAUAGCUAGGAUUAGGAUGGCCGGAGGAGGAGCAAAGGCGGAGCCGGAGGAAGAGCUUUCUAGUCGCAGCAGCAGUGGCGGUGAUUCUGAAAAGUGGGAGACCUCAGAGGAAGGCAGAACCAAUUCCAAAGGCAAGCUGCUGCCUGAUGGUUUUCUCGACCCUCUUCCGCCUCAGAAAUCCUUAAAGCGUCCAAGAUUUUGUGGAAUGGUUGAAGGUGCUUGUAAGCAAGGACAACGUAGAGUUAAACGACGUGAUGCACUGCGAGAGGAUAUUAUGGAUUCGAAAACAUUAGAAGUACACCCUAGUAUUGCCAAUUUACGAGGGUUACAUCGAGCCGCACAUCCAAAUGAGGGUACCAUAUUAGGAGCAGCUAGCCAUCUCCUUAUGGCUAAUGAAUGGCAAGUUCGAUGUCCUCGUUUCAUUGAUGCAUUAGAGCAUGCGGGCAUUGCCUGUAUUAGGCACUUGCAAUUCAUUAGAUUAGACCACCAUCUCAUCACAGCACUAGUUGAGCGUUGGUGUCCUCAGACGAACACAUUCCACCUACCUGUGGGAGAGAUGACAAUUACCUUGCAAGAUGUUCAAAUAAUCUUGGGUGUUAGGACUGAUGGCCCGGCUUUAGUUGGGCCUAUUGCUAUAGGUUUGGGGCAUAGAUGGUUGUCUUGGCCAGAUUGUUGUGACGAGUUAUUGGGUAGUCAUCCUGAGGAAGAUGUGGUCUACCAUCAUCCAAGUGAGCAAAAUCAAACAUCAAAUUUUCGAAUGGGAUCGGCUCAAGCCCGAACAUGCAUACCAUUGAGAUGGCUCAGAUGGACAUUUUAUAGGGAAUCUUAUAUGGACUUGACCAUGAAUGAUUUGCUUAGACAUGUUAGGGCCUAUAUAUUGUAUAUGUUAGGUUGCUUCCUUUUACCUGACACCUCAGGGUCACAUAUGCAUUUACAAUAUUUGCCAUUAUUGGAGGACUUAGGCGAGUUUUCUCAAUACUCAUUAGGAGGUUCGAUAUUAGCCCACCUAUAUAGGGAGUUGAAGGAGGCAACAAAACCCACUCGAGUGUACAUGGCUGGGUGCUUACAUCUCUUACAAGUAUGGGCUUGGGAACGAUUACAUGUUGGACGACCUACUCUGCAUGUGCCUUUUCCGAGAGAUAUUACUGGCAAACCACUAGGCUAUAGGUGGAAUGAGGAGAGAGUACGCGAGGUGCCCAUAGGAAAUGUAAGGAUGUAUAGAGAUGAGAUCGAUGGCCUACAACAAAGCCAAGUAAUUUGGGAACCAUACACACCGGCACUAAUGGUUUGGUUACCAAAAAUAUGCGUAGAUGGUAUGGAGAUUUGGCAGGCCAGAGUUCCACUUAUUAGUUGGAAGCGUGUUGAGUGGCACUUACCAGACCGAGUUAUGCGGCAAUUUGGUGGGAGGCAAUUGAUUGAGCUUGAGCCAAUGGAACGUACUUUUAGGAGAGUUGAUGGUAGGGGUAGGGCUAAUGUUGAUUGGAUGGAAUACCACUAUAAUUACAUUGAGAUGUGGAAUAAAAGAAGAGCAUACAUUAUAGUGGUUACACCUCGUGGGGAUGACCAGGAAGAUCUAUUGAGGUAUAUGCAUUGGUAUAGGUCAUGGGCUUCAUUAUACCUAUUAAAGGCUCCUAUAGCACCACCAAAUACAUAUUACCCCAAGGCUCCGGUUGAACGGAUAAUGAUGGACUAUUAUGUACGGUCGAAGUGCAUUUUACGUCCAUUUUUUGGUGGAAAAUGCAAUGGUGCCAGAGCCAUGCAACUUGCUAUUGAUGAGGUGGCUUCAUUAUGCAACAGAGUUGAGAGUGCAAUUCAUAUAGAUUUUGGUGCAGUUGAGGAUCCCAUCAGGGACAACACUCACAGAGGUACAUCACCAUCAUCAGUUGUUGGUGCAGGAGCAUCAAGAGUUAGAGAUCAGGAGCCAUCAUCUUCUACAAACCAAUGACCAUUAACUUACAUAGAAGUUAGAUCAAUGAUGAUUCAGAAUACAAGGCCAUUAGGAACAAUUCCAUUCCCUCGAUUGUGGCCACCUUUUAAUCUAAACUAGAAUGCUUCAGAAGGUGUCAAUUGCCAUCAUAUUUGCAUGUUCCUUUUACAUCGAUGCCUUACAGUAUGAUUGUGCUGUUCUAGUUGUCACCAGCCACUAUGUCAACAUUGCCAGUCUGCACCCGGCCAAUUUUGGAUGCCACUUAAGUAACAAUAUGGCACUUACUAAUGCUUCCACAUCAGCAAAACCCAAUGUUAAGGUAGAGAACAAUGUCGUGGAGCUUCGGCUACGGGCAAGCCAUUUACGAGGACCAGAAAACUCUCAUUCAUAUCUGGUGCUAUUCUAUAUAGAGGAUGAUGUGUUGGCUGAUAUUUUGAACAUCUGUUAGUUCCUAGAGUCCCAUUAUUGCUGGCUGCCGGAUUUUCUAUGGGCAUCGGUUAAGAUUUUGUUUUGGACGACUUUCUUACUGCUUUUUAAAACAACUUUUUAUGCUAGAAAGCUACUUUAAGAAGCAAUAAGCCUAAGCCUCUUUAGAUUGCUGUUUUUCAGAUAUAUUGAUUUGUCUAUUUAGAAAGCCUUCUGCAAUCUCUGGAAGAUGUUGAUGGUUCUCUUAGUCUGUUUAGAUAGAAUUUCUUUCCUUUUUCAUUUUUCCUUCAUUUUUUUGAAGUAUCAUUUGCUUUGUGGACUACAUCUAUCCUGCUGUUGGUAGACCAAUUAUUCUCAGCUGAACUUUACGUAU